RNAcentral lists this transfer RNA (72 nucleotides) under Camelus bactrianus (Bactrian camel). It matches the Rfam family "tRNA". From Rfam's summary of the family: Transfer RNA (tRNA) molecules are approximately 80 nucleotides in length. Their secondary structure includes four short double-helical elements and three loops (D, anti-codon, and T loops). Lineage: Eukaryota; Metazoa; Chordata; Mammalia; Artiodactyla; Camelidae. The record is from Rfam by way of RNAcentral. RNAcentral also lists the same sequence under 2 other names.
GAGAGUAUAGCUCAGUGGUAGAGCACAUGCUUAGCAUGCACAAGGUUCUGAGUUCAACCCCCAGUACCUUCA